AAGCACUGUGUGUAACUCUGUGAAAGGUCCCAGUUCGGAUGCGAGGGCCUUCACUACCCACAGUGCCCCUCCUGAUACCCCUCUACCGCCCAGACUGUCCCAUCGCACCAAGAGCUCCCUCACAUUACAGUGGAAGCCUCCUGUGGACAAUGGCUCAAAAAUCACCAAUUAUGUUCUAGAAUGGGAUGAGGGGAAGAAAAACAGCAUUUUCCGUGAAUAUUAUGUUGGACACC
Molecule: long non-coding RNA, 233 nt
Organism: Sinocyclocheilus grahami
Lineage: Eukaryota; Metazoa; Chordata; Actinopteri; Cypriniformes; Cyprinidae
Exons: 3
Source: RefSeq, a predicted model, not a curated record